Molecule: long non-coding RNA, 88 nt
Organism: Sapajus apella (tufted capuchin)
Lineage: Eukaryota; Metazoa; Chordata; Mammalia; Primates; Cebidae
Exons: 3
Source: RefSeq, a predicted model, not a curated record
UCCCCAUUCUGAGGUCAGUAAAGGUGGCAUCACUGCAGCUGCAAUGGGGAGUAGUUGUGGGUUGUCUCUGGAAAUUUUAUUCUCAGAG